This is a long non-coding RNA of Cucumis melo (muskmelon), 457 nucleotides long. RefSeq lists it as uncharacterized. The transcript has 2 exons. The record is from RefSeq and is a predicted model, not a curated record. NCBI's taxonomy places the organism in Eukaryota, Viridiplantae, Streptophyta, Magnoliopsida, Cucurbitales, Cucurbitaceae.
AAGAGAAAUAUCACACAUGAUCCUUUACUCCAAUUGUAGUUUCGAUAUAUAGUGGAGUACAGUUGUGUUUUAGGAGAAUAGAAAAAGAAGAUAAAACCCCAUAAAAUCAGCAAAACAAAUCUCUACUGCCACACCCACUCACUAACUCUAUCUCUCUCUUUCUUCACCUGCACCUACACAUUUCCCACCGCGCCGGCACUGAAUCCUACGUCGCCCCGCAAUUUGCCUUCCAUGCGCCGCUCCCCCCCUCCACGUAUCCCUCUUUUCCCCAACUCUCCCCUUUCCCCCGCGACUCGUGUCGCCGCCGUAUCGGAACCCUAUUGCCACCUGGUACGGUGGACGAUUUUUUUUUUCAAAUUUUGUUGUUAUAUGAUGUAAUUUUUUUAUAAUAUAAUACAUUUAUAUCGUUAGACUUUUAUCGAUAUUUAUUAUUAAUAAAAUCCAAAACUUUGUUGUA